This 229-nucleotide long non-coding RNA is filed under the name Hordeum vulgare. RNAcentral describes it as "long non-coding RNA (HVUL_LNC011432)". Lineage: Eukaryota; Viridiplantae; Streptophyta; Magnoliopsida; Poales; Poaceae. The record is from RNAcentral.
GGAUGUUCAGACUACAGGCCACCAGUUUCCUCUAUUUUGUCCUUUGUUUUUCCUCCCUCUUUGCAUUUUGAUUAGAGCCUCCAAGUAUUUGUAGAUGGAUGUUUCAGCUUCAGGAAACUUCUAUCAGUCGGUCUUUGUAGUUGCUUGUACUUUAGUUGCGGUUGCUUUCAUCUUGUAUCAUAUAAUCUGCUGUAUAUGCUUGCCUAGUUCGUGACAACCAGGAAUUUGC